Non-coding RNA from Elaeis guineensis (African oil palm), 328 nucleotides. Lineage: Eukaryota; Viridiplantae; Streptophyta; Magnoliopsida; Arecales; Arecaceae. The record is from RefSeq and is a predicted model, not a curated record.
UAGAUUCCAUAUAUGAGAAGUCCUCUUGGAUGCUUCCUGAUGUUUGUUUGAUAGGCAAGUUUCUGAGCUGCUCACAGCAUCCUCAAAAUUUUAAUUGAUUCGGCAUUUUCCUUCAAUUUGACAGCCUUACGUGGUUUGGUAGAAAGAACCAGGUGAACGCCUGCUUCUCGUCCACUGCAAGAACUCUCAUGAAGCACUGGUGGCCUCUGUGAGUGCGGAGGGCGCCUUCCAUGUUUGCAGUGUCAUGUUGUAUAAACAUAGUUGCACCUUUGUUCUUACCUGAUAAAGUUAUGAUUCUUGUUGGGGUCUUACUUCCCAGCUGCUGCAA